Molecule: ribosomal RNA, 497 nt
Filed under: uncultured bacterium
Lineage: Bacteria
Description: partial 16S ribosomal RNA
Rfam family: Bacterial small subunit ribosomal RNA
Source: RNAcentral
GAUGAACGCUGGCGGCGUGCCUAAUACAUGCAAGUCGAGCGAACGGACGAGAAGCUUGCUUCUCUGAUGUUAGCGGCGGACGUUUGAGUAACACGUGGAUAACCUACCUAUAAUACUGGGAUAACUUCGGGAAACCGGAGCUAAUACCGGAUAAUAUUUUGAACCGCAUUGUUCAAUAUUGAAAGACGGUCUUGCUGUCACUUAUAGAUGGAUCCGCGCUGCAUUAGCUAGUUGGUAAGGUAACGGCUUACCAAGGCAACGAUUCAUAGCCGACCUGAGAGGGUGAUCGGCCACACUGGAACUGAGACACGGUCCAGACUACGACGGGAGGCAGCAGUAGGGAAUCUUCCGCAAUGGGCGAAAGCCUGACGGAGCAACGCCGCGUGAGUGAUGAAGGUCUUCGGAUCGUAAAACUCUGUUAUUAGGGAAGAACAAAUGUGUAAGUAACUGUGCACAUCUUGACGGUACCUAAUCAGAAAGCCACGGCUAACUACGUG